GACGAACGCUGGCGGCGCGCCUAACACAUGCAAGUCGAACGAGCGAGAGAGAGCUUGCUUUCUCGAGCGAGUGGCGAACGGGUGAGUAACGCGUGAGGAACCUGCCUCAAAGAGGGGGGACAACAGUUGGAAACGACUGCUAAUACCGCAUAAGCCCACGGUGCCGCAUGGCACAGAGGGAAAAGGAGCAAUCCGCUUUGAGAUGGCCUCGCGUCCGAUUAGCUAGUUGGUGAGGUAAUGGCCCACCAAGGCGACGAUCGGUAGCCGGACUGAGAGGUUGAACGGCCACAUUGGGACUGAGACACGGCCCAGACUCCUACGGGAGGCAGCAGUGGGGAAUAUUGCACAAUGGGGGAAACCCUGAUGCAGCGACGCCGCGUGGAGGAAGAAGGUCUUCGGAUUGUAAACUCCCGU
Molecule: ribosomal RNA, 414 nt
Filed under: uncultured bacterium
Lineage: Bacteria
Description: bacterial SSU rRNA
Rfam family: Bacterial small subunit ribosomal RNA
Source: RNAcentral